GUUAAAACGAUGAAGGGAACAGUAUGGCAAGGAAUCGUUUUUUUUUAGCGAGCUAGUGAUGGUGUAAGACUAGCAAACGACCCUGUCCGGAACAUCAUCCUGGAGUUUCUAAGCUGAACGAUCGUAAUAGUAAGCUUAGCGUGUAUUCACGAUACGAAUAGUAAAGCGGGUUCUUUACUGUUAAUGAAGAGCCUAUUAGGGUGGUACCGCGGGUAGCCUUCUCGUCCCUUUC
RNAcentral lists this non-coding RNA (232 nucleotides) under Fictibacillus macauensis. RNAcentral describes it as "T-box sequence". It matches the Rfam family "T-box leader". From Rfam's summary of the family: Uncharged tRNA acts as the effector for transcription antitermination of genes in the T-box leader family. The record is from RNAcentral. Lineage: Bacteria; Bacillati; Bacillota; Bacilli; Caryophanales; Fictibacillaceae.